RNAcentral lists this long non-coding RNA (374 nucleotides) under Sinocyclocheilus grahami. RNAcentral's name for it is "lncRNA (ENSSGRG00000050572.1)". The record is from RNAcentral. Lineage: Eukaryota; Metazoa; Chordata; Actinopteri; Cypriniformes; Cyprinidae.
CCGUUCAGUGCUGCUGCCGGAGCCUUGCGCUUCCUCGUGCUUGGCUUUUUAGCUAUGAUUUCACGAUAAAGAUUUUAUUUUCAUCUUAACGGCUUUACUUUAGCAAAUAAAUCGCGGAGGCAUCGAAAAGACGUCUGUAAGCCCCGUAAACCUUGAGAUUAACUUGUUCUCACGCUUUUUUGUGAGUGCUGUCGUUUGAAUGAAAUGGAUGUUCUGGACGUUUUUGGAAAACGCUGGAUGGGAAAUGAAAUUGAAAAGGAGACCUUGGAAAUCAGUGAUAAAACACGGAAAUGAACUGACCUCAGAUCAGGAGUCGGAAGACGAGUGGAGAGUGGGAGUAGCGAUAGUGGUGGAGGAGUGAACCCGGAGCAGGU